AGUGAACGCUGGCGGUAGGCCUAACACAUGCAAGUCGAACGGCAGCACAGUAAGAGCUUGCUCUUACGGGUGGCGAGUGGCGGACGGGUGAGGAAUACAUCGGAAUCUACUUUUUCGUGGGGGAUAACGUAGGGAAACUUACGCUAAUACCGCAUACGACCUACGGGUGAAAGCAGGGGAUCUUCGGACCUUGCGCGAUUGAAUGAGCCGAUGUCGGAUUAGCUAGUAGGCGGGGUAAAGGCCCACCAAGGCGACGAUCCGUAGCUGGUCUGAGAGGAUGAUCAGCCACACUGGAACUGAGACACGGUCCAGACUCCGACGGGAGGCAGCAGUGGGGAAUAUUGGACAAUGGGCGCAAGCCUGAUCCAGCCAUACCGCGUGGGUGAAGAAGGCCUUCGGGUUGUAAAGCCCUUUUGUUGGGAAAGAAAAGCAGCAGGUUAAUACCCCGCUGUUCUGACGGUACCCAAAGAAUAAGCACCGGCUAACUUCGU
This 491-nucleotide ribosomal RNA is filed under the name uncultured bacterium. RNAcentral's name for it is "partial 16S ribosomal RNA". It matches the Rfam family "Bacterial small subunit ribosomal RNA", at positions 29 to 506 of the family's 1533-position model. The record is from RNAcentral.